This 253-nucleotide ribosomal RNA is filed under the name uncultured bacterium. RNAcentral describes it as "partial 16S ribosomal RNA". It matches the Rfam family "Bacterial small subunit ribosomal RNA", at positions 524 to 776 of the family's 1533-position model. The record is from RNAcentral.
UACAGAGGUCCCAAGCGUUGUUCGGAUUCACUGGGCGUAAAGGGUGCGUAGGCGGUCGGGUAAGUCUGAUGUGAAAUCUCACAGCUUAACUGUGAAACUGCAUUGGAUACUAUCCGGCUCGAGGAAUGGAGGGGAGACUGGAAUACUUGGUGUAGCAGUGAAAUGCGUAGAUAUCAAGUGGAACACCAGUGGCGAAAGCGGCUUCCUGGUCCGACACCGACGUUCAGGCACGAAAGCGUGGGGAGCAAACAGG